CGGUCGGUUAAAGCGGCCGUUGGAACUAUAUUAGACGCACCUCGACGCCCAGACGACGAAACCCUGGAGACCAUUUUGUUCGAAGCGGAGGCCAUGAUCAACUGUAGGCCUCUGACUUACAUACCUUUGGAGUCAGCAGACGAGGAAUCGCUCACCCCGAACCAUUUCCUCCUCGGGAGUUCAAAUGGUGUGAAAAUUCGGUCUACAGAACCCGUUCAAGAACAUGCCACAUUAAGAAGUAGUUGGAAGCUAGCCCAACACAUCACUGAUCAACUGUGGCGCAGGUGGAUCAAAGAAUUCUUGCCUGUGAUCACACGCAGGACGAAGUGGCACGAAGAAGUGAAAGAUCUACAGGUAGGUGACCUUGUCUUGGCGGUCAACGGAACCUUGAGGAACCAGUGGAUCCGAGGCCGUAUCAUUCAGGUUUUCCCUGGAAGAGACGGCAGAGUGCGACAAGCUCUUGUGAAGACAGCGACAGGCGUACUCAAAAGGGCUGCAGUGAAACUAACGGUUCUGGACGUAGAAGAGAAGUGUAAACCAGGCGACGGAUCACCGGAGGCCCCAGAACCUUGCCAUGGUUUACGGGAGGGGGUAUGUAACGACAGGAACCGCGGCUCUGGCGACACUGCCACAGAGCUACCGUCCCACUUUCCGAUCGUACACGAUCAACAGUUGUCAUCGUAGAUGACUCGCACAAUCACUGUAAGGUCGCAAAACAGCAAGUGAAUGGACGACGAAAAGUGCAUAUUGUUGAUUGCUUAAUGCUAUACAGUGCUUAAACCUAAAUCUAUCGUACAGCUUACGAUACUUAAAACUAAAUCUACCGUGCAAAUUUCAUAUCCUAUUCAGUGAAAAACUAUGAUAAAAUUAGCCUACAGACGUUAGAUACGACCCGUCCAAAUCUUUAAU
This is a long non-coding RNA of Aedes albopictus (Asian tiger mosquito), 909 nucleotides long. RefSeq lists it as uncharacterized. NCBI's taxonomy places the organism in Eukaryota, Metazoa, Arthropoda, Insecta, Diptera, Culicidae. The transcript is spliced from 3 exons. The record is from RefSeq and is a predicted model, not a curated record.